UUCUGGGAUAUGCAGCACUUACCCAUAGCGUUGUCCAAAUACCCUGCUGCCCUAACAUGAUGCUGAAGGUAACUGGUAUCACCAAACUCAGCCAAAUCUAAUGUCUCCAGCAAGCUUUCCACUCCCCUGUUAUGCUGGCUAUUAAAUUCAAGUAGACUCUUCUUGUAUCAGUGGAACAAGUAUUCCCAGAUGUAGCAUGGAGUGGGAGAAAGAGGUCUCUGUUUUGUGGCCACCUGUUGGUGGAAGAAACAGGAGGGGAGUUUGGGUGAAGCUGUGGGACGUUUCUCCAUAGACAGUCCUAAGGCAGUUAGGACCAUGCUACCACUGGAGUUUCACUGGGAUCUGGCCUUGAGGCAUGUACGUGUUUUGUGCCACAAGGCAAUGGCUAAUAGAACAAGCUGUUACCUCUCUUGGUGAGGCAGAGGAACAAGGCAUUUCCCCUCGCUGCACCUGGUGGAGAGAGUAACCGCUUUGUCUGGGUGUUCCCUACCUUGAGCCUGUAUCUGGCUGAGUGCAAGGGGGAACGAGUAGUUCACUUCUUGUCUGGAUCAAGAGGAGCAACUGUGAGUAAUAUAAAAUAAUUUUUGCUUUUAAACCUCCAGUGUGGAGUUCUUUGAUGCCAUUCUUUCAAUGAGACCGGUGGUCAGUCCAGCUGCCAGUAGGAGGCCACACAGUGAACCAGCAUUCACUGGUGCUUUCUGGGCCCCCCUUCAUUGAGAUCCUUGGGGAAAGCUCAAAGGCUGCAUAGGCCUGGGGACCUGAAUCCCCUGCCCCUACCCUCCUCCCUUCCCAACUGCCUCUCAGGCAGGCAGAGAAGCUGGGCAAGGCAGUGAGGGGACAUCUGUCCUGAUGCAGCCCCAGCUCUGCCUGCUUUUCAGCUCCAGACUGUCACAUCUGGGCCACCCCCUGCACCAGCACACCUCCAAGGGGUCCCUUGUGUUUGCUGGUGAGGUACCUCUGGCAGAGCAUCAUGAUUCCCUGCAAGAAGUCCCUUCUUCCAACAGAGGCCGAUUCCUCUGCUGAUUCUUCCUGUUCCUGUAGAGACUCUGCUUAUCUUGUUUUGAUGGCAUACUUCCACUUUUUAACUGUUGCCAGAUCAAGCUGACCAGUGCAGGACAGGAAGCAUUGCCCCUUUGGGCCAAAUCCCUGUGCUCAGGAGAAGGGACAGCCAUAGCCUGGUACCUGGCUGAAGAGGCACAUUCCCUGUGCAGAUGGCUGGGGCAGCAGCCCUGGCGUGGCCCUGCACCCUCAGGCUUUGCUCAGUGAGAGCUGCUGAGGUGCUUAGCCCCAGAGACAUGUUUCUUCCAGCCUGUGGGUGCGACAGCCUGCCUUCCCCUGGGUGGGAGCGGGGAACAGGGAUGUCCUGCCGAUAUUGUUGCCUUUUAGUACUUUUGUAACUUCUCUCUGUCUUUUUCAAUCAGAAGGAAAAAUAAAAACAACAAAAUAAAGUGGAACAGCUGCUAUAUUCACACCUCUGGUGGGUCUCGUGCAUUUGCCAUCUUCUGGGUGUUUGUGGGCAGGGGUAUAGGAGGGAAUGGAUUAGAGCGAACUAUGACACAGCACUGCUACUCCCAAGUGCUCCUAAAUCCCAGGCCAUGUCUGCAAGAGAAUGGCUUUGAAAACAAACUAGCAAGAGCUUUUCUAAAAUGAAUGCCAGGCUCUUUGCAUAUAAGAGGAGCUCCGUGUGCAGCUGCUCCCUUUGAGGCUAGCCCUGAUCCGGUAUAUUGACCCUCGCUGGUGCUUCCCUCACCAAGAAGGUGCUUUGGCUUUUGAGUAACCUGCCUAUUGCUUGGGGGUUGAAUGCGAGCUGGCUGUGGGUGACCAUACAGCUGGUCUUUGGCUUACAAUUUUAGCCUCAGUAAGUCUUACAUCUCUAUCCCAAGAUUCUCAUCAGCCCUUUUGCUUACAGCCAGAGCACUUGUGCUCCUCUGUAGCAUAACUCUAGCUCACCCCUUCCUCUGGAUCUUGCUCUAAAAACUCCAUCUCGGGUACUUCUAAUGUGCAUUCCCCACCCCUUGCUGUCUCUCUCCCACACUCCUAGCUCUGUAUCUUAACCAGCAUCUCACAAGGCUAUUACCUAUGUCCCCUUUUCCAAGGCCCCCUGAGAGAUACUAGCUUAAAUUCCCUUAGCAGUCCUACUUAGACUCAUUCCCAGGAGGCCUUUUCUGCUCUUCUCUCCAAGCUUUGAUCUCCUCUAGGCUUUCUGACAUCUCUUAUCUUGAAAUCCUCCCCUCUCCAUCAGUUGCAGCUCAUUGUUAAUUGGCCUUGGCCCAUUUUCCAAGGGUUGUAAGGUGGACUUGCUGGCUCCCCCAAGUCCUUUGCUCUCAUACGUCCUGUACAGAAUCACCUUUCUCUGUGAUGUUUCUUCCAAAACAGCCUGAUUGCCCAGUGUACCCACCUUUGGGGCCCUAGAUGCUGUUCAAAAAUGGUGGGCGCUAUGGCUCCACAAACCCUGAUCAUCUAUAGGCUUCUGCUAGCGCAAGCUUGUUUAUAAGUAUAUAAAUGCAUAGAGAGGGAUGUGUUGACCUCAUACCAGCCAGGCUGUAGGUACGGACACAGAUUGUGCCAAAACCAGAGUACAGCAGGCGGACAGCAGAAAGGUGUCAUAAGGCUUUGCAGUGUGCAGACAGCUAACUGGCCAGGGUGAGCUGGGGUGUAGAGCUGCUCGGCUGCCCCCAGGGCUGUAGUCUGGGCCCCAGCAUGUGUUUGGGUUAAGUUCAAUCCUGCCCACCCCUCAUCACUCCCUGCAAGUUGGGCCUCUGAGUUAAUGACAAAACAGAAGGUUUUGUGGUAAAACAUGAUGAUAAAGCCUUGAUAGACAGCUCUGAAGCUAAAAGAAAGCAGGUUAGUGGUAUUCACGAAGAUCUUAUGGGGUACUUUUCAGCUGUAGUUACUAGUGUAGCUGACAAAGGAAGCUAAAGACAUUGGCCUCAUUUGGAUACCAGACCCUGGCAUGGGGGAAGGGUUUGCCAAAGACCGCUGCGGAAGCCAUCAGCAGAAACCAGAGAAAUGGGAGCUGAGCUGUGGUCUUCUGAAGGCAGUUCCUUGUUGUAGCUGCUGUGCCCUAUUGCUGCCUCUGGCAUACAUCAGUGUGGGGCUGUUUACCUCUGUGUCUUCCAAAACACCCUGUGCAAACACUCCAUCCACUGCUGGAGCGGGCAGGGGUGCUGGCUGGGGUGCAAGUGAAGCACUCUGCAAGCAUGGUCAGCUUAGCAUAGGUCCCUCAGGACCUCUGCUUUGCUGGAUCUCCCCGCUCCAGAGUUAGUCCUCCCACAAGGUUUGGGUCAUGGCUCACUGGGGGAGCCUGUAACUUCUAAGCUGAGAUCUUUCUCUGCUCUGAACCAAUCUCGCUUGGAGACGUGCAGGUGUUUCCCUUCAGAGCAAAAACAAACCCUGCGAAGAGAGGAGGACUGUUGUGCCAAGGUGCAGCCCUGGCAUGCUGAACUCAGCUGUGUUAACCAUCUGCAGGAGGGUGAAUGGGGACAGGCAGCUAUUUGAAGAGCUUGGCCACAGCUUCUCUGUGAUUUAAGUGGGACCAUUUAGGCUAAUACUGUUCUCCAGUUAAAGUCAAUUAAUUAGGUUAAUGGUAUGGCCUUAUAAAAAUAACAGAGGGGAACCAAGCUCACAGCAGUGGCAAAGGGAGUUGUAUGUGUACCCUGAGACUUGGUGAGACCCUUUGCAGCCAGCGCACAAGAUCGGCUCUUCUUGUGUUGUCCAAACAUUUUCUUAAACAUAUGUAUGUACAUGCAUGCAUACACGUUAUAUAUAUUUAUGUCUCUGUAUGUUUCCUUUAUGCAGAAAUCUCUGUACUCUACUACAGCCACCCACAAGAAGGGUGCCCUGUGCUCACCUGGGUCUGUUUGACAGGGCUCAAUGUGAAGCCCACCUGCAGCACACUCACCGUCUGUGUGCUACAAAGCAUGAUGAUGCUUGGAAAACACGCCUACCGCCCCAUUUCCAACUGCAUGCUGAGUGUUGACCUACCUGCCAACCUACCAGAUUGACUAGGAAAACAGGCAAAAUCAGCAGCACUGCUAGGGCCAGGGUUCUCACCCCAAGCUAGAUGGAGGCCACUGAAACACAGCUUGGCACAGAAGCAACUAAGCAGCAGAGUUUUCAGCCGUACAGACCAUCUCCUUCAAGCAACUUAGGGCUUUCCCUUGCUCUUUCUGAAGCUGCAUAGCAUGUUGUGGCAAGGUGUGGGGUGGAAGAAUGCAUUCAAGGGUGUGUAUCAGGUUAGGGUUGGAUGGGGUAUGUGCUGAUACAGUGUGGGUGUAUAGACACAGAGUGCAUUUACAGUGGCCUUUAUAUUUAUGGCAUCUUAUUUAUAUUUUAAGUGGAAGGAAGUCUUGGAGGAGUAAAGGCAGUGGGCACACAUGCAAGCAAGCGUGGGCCUGGCAGGAUGGGUGCUGGUGGAUGUGCAUCUGGGGCAUGGGCAAAAGAGCUUGUGCUGGGGAGGGGCAUGUGCAGGUGUCUGCAGAUAGUGAUGCACGGAGGAUGUACAAAUAGGUUACAAAUGCCAAGGCAAGUGUGGUGAGUACUUCUUUGCUGUUUCUGCAGUCUCAGCCAUCUGUGGUAACAACUGGCAGACUUUUGCAGUGUAUCUCGCCAGUAAUGUUUGGGAAAAGUGAAGAAAAAAUUACAAAGGCCUGAUCUGUGUCCUGAGGCACUUGGGCGCUUUCACCGUUGAAUUAAAAAGAAGCAGGCACCUGGACAACAGUGACUCAAAACAAAGUGACCUCAUUAUAAAAUAGGGAGUGAUUGUACACUGUUCCUUCUCAGACAAGAACUUCAGGGACAUCAAAUAAAAGUAGCAGGUGGCAGGUUCAAAGCAAACAACUGGAGGCAGAUCUGCACAGAGUGCAGGGUUGCACUGGGGAACCCUGUGCCACAGGAUACUGUGGCUGCUCCGUAUUUACAGCUCUCCAGACUUGCAAAGAAAGAAAAAAAAAGAAAAAUAGUCCCCAGGAAACACUACAUACACAAAUGCCACCCCUGGCUGAGGAAGGUGGUGAGGUGGGAGGAUUUUCGGGGGUAGGUUGCUGUGCGCCAGCCCCAUCUCACCCUCCUCUGCGGCAGAGUCCACUCCUGACAGGGUUCAAGGUGGGCUGGUGGCUCCAAACAGGCACAUGCACUAGCAACCACCCUGCCAUGCCAGCACUUCUUUGCAUGCAUGCCUGCCUGUUGCCUUUACUCCUCCAAGACAUCCUCCCUGAUAUGAGGCCUCAGUGGUGACUUGGCCCUCAUGUCUUUGAUGGUGAGGUCGGGGAUGACCCGAUGCAUCUACUGAGCUGCCAGUGUCAGGGAGUAGCUUGAAACCUGGGCCGUUCACUGAUCUAUCUGCAUGGCUGCAAAUGGGCAUCCUACAGAGCCUGUCUGCCCUCAGUGUGUGGGUGCUGGGGCCCUGCUAGGAGGACCCCAGGUCAUCAGGGCUGACUGGCAUCCAUCACGUCCCUUGCCACAGCCAGGCUGAGCCUGAACUGCCCAUGGUCACUAUGUGCAGAGGCUGGUCGCAAGGGCAUAGCUCAGGCUCAGGUUUCUGAAGUGGGUCAGGUCUGUAGCAGCUGGCAGGCUGGUGUCCAUGUGUCAUAGGAACAAAGUGAGUUUGGUUUGAGCACAGUCUCAGGCUUACAAGAUGUAUAUUAUACACGUAAUAUACUUUUGGGGUGUAGGAACACAUUAAGAAAGCAAGGGCGAGUGUCCCCCAGCAAUUUGUAAGCCUCACAUGGGAGUGAGCAAGCCAAAGAGGAUGCAGCUGAAAAGGCAAGGCUCUGCAGAAGAAGUAACAUCAGUGACGGGGAGAUUUAAGCAUGUUGGUAUCUCACCAUUUCCUGAGCUAGAUUUUAGUGGGCUUAUUCAAGAAAGGGAUGAGGAAAUAGAAGAUGUAGAUGCUUUGAAAGCUAGCUCUGGCUAUAGCUGCAUGCCAGCCUGGCAGGACUUGACCACAUGUUUUCAGUUAACCCGGGACAGGAUGUGCAGAUAGCUCUGGACACAUGAGGAGCCCAAAAAUCUGUUUUCCUUUUUGUGGCUGCUCACAUCAGUGCCUGCUGUAAUAAUAGCUCAGUCUGUUUAGUGCGUUGGCCAGUACAGAUUGCAUGUUCCUGUCUGACAUGUUCACAGCAUAGGAGCUCUGAGGUCAGAUGAGUGGAGGAACUGAAAGUGCCAUGAGGGCGGGGUGCCAAGUGGGGAGACGAAUGGAGACAACAAAGCCCCUUUGACAAGGAAAGUGGUCACCAUCUGCGAUAGGAGGAAAGUUGCUUUCUACCGAAGGGUCCCCUGGGAGCUCUGCUUUCCUCACCCUGGCACGUCCUGCAGACACCCUGAGGUGGGCUAGCCAGCAUCGAUCCUUGGUGUAGAAUGUCCUUGGAGCACACUGGCAUGCUACACCAGUGAGUCUCACAGGAGUUUGCUCCCCACUGAGGGACAGUGAGACUUUGGUGCCCUGUAUUGCUGGUGUGAGACCUAUCCUUGUGUACCCACAGCUCUCCUGAUUGUCCACCUGGGCCUACUGCUCUUUCCUCCUGGCCUCCAUGAAUGCCUCUUCUCCGUCAGACUGUGUCUUUUUCCAGGCCUCCCCUGUUCCUUCACCACCCUCUCCUGGUUUCAGGUUCCUCGAAGACCUUGCAGUGAGCCAGCCCAGAGGCUUUGGCACUGGGGUCUUGGUGCAAUUUCUUUUCCCUCACAAAUUUUCUCAUUUCCUUCCUUGGCCACCUUGUUUCAGCCUUUAGACUCAGCAGCAAUAAAGUUUUAAUGUAGACAAAAUUAUGUGCCACUCCUGGAAAUGGUUGAAGCAUCUUUGCCAAAUUUUUCCAAAAAGGGUAGCCAGAGUGUUCCAUCCUGAACGGUUUCAUUGCUGACGGGUAACAUUUGGCAAGACAUUGGUGAUGGUCUUACCCAAUGGAAGGCUGCUUGGCAAACCUGGCCUUGGCAGUGCGACCAAGCCAAAUACAUCAGGGCAAAACCUCGAUCAUAUACAGCUCUUUUGAAUUCUGAAAGCCUUUGUCAGGUCUUCAGCGCAGAGCCUCCACAGGCCCUGUUUUGAAGAGAAAUGUUUUGUCCUUUCCUGGCUUUAAACAGUUCCCCAAAAUAAACCCUCUGCUAUUUACUGGCAUUGUUUUCUUUCUUGCGUUGAAUGCUGAUAAAUAAUCAGACCCAGUAUAUUAUAUUCGUGUCUGCUCUGGUAGAAAAUAAUUACAACAAUUACUACCAAAUCAAAAUGCUUCUGUUUCUCCUGGUGUCAUUAGCAUGUCCCAAACAUUUUGUUCUUGCGGUUUAAAGUGCAGUAAUAACAUGGUCCAAGUGCAACACACGGUUGAGCGGAGCUUCCCAGCACAGCAAGCUUCCCAGCCAUGAUCGCCCCUGAGAUGCUGCUAAUUUUCAAUCGUGGUGUCAGAUCCUCUUCUACCGCAGGGAGAGCAACUGCUUAGCCUGUGGUUUACCCAAUUUAUUCUGGUAAUAACUGGGCUGGCUGCGUAGCCAUCUGUCUGCUUUACGUGCUUCUUGUGCCCCGCCUUCCCCAGACCCAGCCAUGUCUCUGUGACAGCAGAGAGAGAAGGCAUUGCUUCACCCCGGCCAUGAAGGGGGUCUCCGUGCGCUCAGAGAAGGGUACAAGUGUUCCCCCCUGGCUCUGCCCAGAAGCAGCGAGUGAUGCCUCCCAUCUCUGCUGACCUCUGGAUGCCAGGGCUGGCAGCAGUGGUGCCUGCUGCAGACAUUUCCACCAGGCAGGGAAGGAAAGAUCCCUUUUUAGAUAGGGCACCGGUGGCUUAUCAAGGUUUUGGCUGUACCCUGGCCCAAGUGAGGGGAGCUACAGCCAGUUUGCAAGGGGGAAACUGAGGCAGGGAGUGGCUAAGGCAAGGACCCGACACAAAGAUAGUGGAAAGAUACACAUUAGCCUGAAAUUGCAUCCACAGAUAUGAAAACCAUCGUGGUCACAUGUCUCCAUUUGUGAAGAAAAACACCGUAUUGACUGGAUCAUUGUAAAACCUUUAAUUGAAGAAGCCAAGUCCUCUCUGCCCUGUGUAAUGUUAUUCAAACAGACCUGCACACAACUCCUUCAAAGCAGAUGCUAGCCAGGGUACAGCCCUAGAUCAACAGUCAUUCAGGAUCAGUAUUGCUUGAAACCACUGUGUAAAAUCAAAUAUAAAUAGAGCAGAGAGCAUCUGAAGCAAUUAGGGUCUCGGGGGAGAUUCAUUUCCCGUAAUGAAGCCAAGCAAAGGAGAGAUGAUGCAUCAUUUCUGUAAUGCAGUGAGGACAUGCAGAAGCUGGAUUACUCAGAAAACUCUGAGCAGCAUGUAUGGUUCAUAUUAAAUCACCUAACCUUUCUAUCUCCAGUGGUAUUUCUGGGGCUUUCAUUACUGUGGUGUUCUACAAACUGUAGCCUUGUGAUUGCCUCUGGGAGACAGUGCAAUAUUCGAGUAAGACAAGAGGGAAGAGUGAGCAGUGGAGACCCAUCUGCAUCUCAGAGGUGCGUGGCAAAGCAGCACCUGCAGCCAAAAGCGGGGCUGAUGGAGCUGGGAGGAAGAGGAGGCACUUCUCCCUGCGGGUUUAUAAACUCUUGGCUCGCAAAGCAGGAGGACAAAGUGCAUCACCAAAACAGAAUUGUGCUUGAUGUCUGGGUCAGAGAAGCUCCAGCUGGGCCUGGGCAGCCCUUUCCACUUCCCCAUCCCUUGAGAGCCGGCCAGCAGCUGGGGGCCAAACUGGCACCUCACCCCCAGCACUGAUGGGAAGGUGAAGGAACCUUGGGAAAACCUGGCUCUGGCUGGCUGCUGUCGGCUCAGCAGCAAUUGCAGUAUAAAAAAUAUUUCUCCUCCCCACCAUGCCCUCCCCAUCUCUGCCAUGGUCUGCUUCAGAGGUAUGAAGGCAGCAGUAACUGGCCACCCCAAUGGACCGGAGACUGAUGGAUGAGCCAGCUACCCUGAGUGCCUGCCGGCUGGAAGAGGAGACUGACUAUGAGCAGAUGAUGGGAAUUACAGCUGGGUAAACUCAAUACCACGUUAACCCUGUGGGGUGUGAGCAGGGUCCCUGCCACAUGGGCAUGCAAAGCACCAGCUCUGGUCCAUUCCCCCUGAAGGUGGUGCCUGGCACUGCUGGGGUGUCCCCGUUACACUGGUGGGGUGAUAAUGCAAAGCCUUCCCUCACCUUCUCCCUGGCUCUUCUCAGGCACCAAGUACCCUGCCAUAAAACCAGUCUUUCCCCGCAUGCCCCUGUGUAUUGCCAUUUAUUACAUUACAAGGGGAGAAGGUGGGCCUGGUGCUUUCAGGGAUUUCAGGGUGUGAUGCUGGGCAGUCACUGGGGUGGGCUCAGAUGGCAGCAGGACUAGGGAGACUAGAAAUAUCUCACGGUACAGUGCCCUAUGUGCAAUAAAAAGCCAGCAGCCCAUUUUGGUCAAACCAAACAGGGCCUUUUGGAAAAGCAUGCCCUAAGAGGAAAUGCUCCCAGAGCAGCCUAUGGCCCCCAGGUAAUAAUGCUGUAAUCGAUGUCAGUGCACACAGUUAACCACUACAGGAUUACCAACUCCAUAGAUUUCAAAAUCCUGAAUAAGGCCUCAAACCUCACAGCACUGGCUUAAAAAAUAGAUUAAAACUAUGCAGUUUGGAAUCUGAUUACUUAUCCUCUAUUUGGGUUUUUAAAACUUUUGGAUACAGCUGGGCUGCAUUUUCAGCUUCUCUUUGCAUCGCAAUUGCAAGGUCACAAUAAUUACUCCAUAGAAGGGAGCUACAGGGUGGGGGUUUUUUUUGAAGGAAGCUGAGAUUCUUAUAUAUUUACAUUUACAGGGAGGGAGCUUUAACAGUUCUCUAGGCUCUGAGAGUCUGUUAAAAAUUGCAAGGGCCACUGAUAUAAUAAUAGAUUAACCUCAGACCAAUUUAUGUGUGUGGUUACUGAUCACCUGCUCUAAAUGAGCUCACUGCAGGAAGUGGACUUGCCUCUUCAAGGAAUGCUGCAUGUUUGGAGAUGUGCCAACAAAGCAUCAUUUCCACUGGAAGCAUUGUCACGGAGGGAAAAAGUGAAAUUUAUCUCAUUGCCCAGGAAGGCAUAAAGGCAGACUGAUAAAUAAUCAGGUGGUGAACCAACUACUUGGCAAUAAGUGGUGAGGCAAUCGCAGUGCGAUGAAGGCUAAUAAGAAAAUAUGAUGUCAUGCAUGGCUCUGCUUUGCCGAAGUAUGCCGCUCCCUGCGGAAAAUCACAAAGAACUGUAAAAACAAAAUACGUUUGUGCUUCAACUGGAAA
Harpia harpyja (harpy eagle) is the source of this 10226-nucleotide long non-coding RNA. RefSeq lists it as uncharacterized. The record is from RefSeq and is a predicted model, not a curated record. Lineage: Eukaryota; Metazoa; Chordata; Aves; Accipitriformes; Accipitridae. The transcript has 2 exons.